AGGAUGAACGCUGGCGGCGUGCUUAACACAUGCAAGUCGAACGAUGAACCUCACUUGUGGGGGGAUUAGUGGCGAACGGGUGAGUAACACGUGAGUAACCUGCCCUUAACUCUGGGAUAAGCCUUGGAAACGGGGUCUAAUACCGGAUAUUUACGAUUGAUCGCAUGGUUGGUUGUGGAAAGAUUUAUUGGUUUUGGAUGGACUCGCGGCCUAUCAGCUUGUUGGUGAGGUAAUGGCUUACCAAGGCGACGACGGGUAGCCGGCCUGAGAGGGUGACCGGCCACACUGGGACUGAGACACGGCCCAGACUCCUACGGGAGGCAGCAGUGGGGAAUAUUGCACAAUGGGCGCAAGCCUGAUGCAGCGACGCCGCGUGAGGGAUGAAGGCCUUCGGGUUGUAAACCUCUUUCAGUAGGGAACAAGGCCGGCUUUGGUGGUUGAGGUACCUGCAGAAGAAGCGCCGGCUAACUACGUGCCAGCAGCCGC
This 486-nucleotide ribosomal RNA is filed under the name uncultured bacterium. RNAcentral's name for it is "SSU rRNA". It matches the Rfam family "Bacterial small subunit ribosomal RNA", at positions 26 to 518 of the family's 1533-position model. The record is from RNAcentral.